AUUGAACGCUGGCGGCAGGCCUAACACAUGCAAGUCGAGCGGAUGAAGGGAGCUUGCUCCUGGAUUCAGCGGCGGACGGGUGAGUAAUGCCUAGGAAUCUGCCUGGUAGUGGGGGAUAACGUCCGGAAACGGGCGCUAAUACCGCAUACGUCCUGAGCGAGAAAGUGGGGGAUCUUCGGACCUCACGCUAUCAGAUGAGCCUAGGUCGGAUUAGCUAGUUGGUGGGGUAAAGGCCUACCAAGGCGACGAUCCGUAACUGGUCUGAGAGGAUGAUCAGUCACACUGGAACUGAGACACGGUCCAGACUCCUACGGGAGGCAGCAGUGGGGAAUAUUGGACAAUGGGCGAAAGCCUGAUCCCGCCAUGCCGCGUGUGUGAAGAAGGUCUUCGGAUUGUAAAGCACUUUAAGUUGGGAGGAAGGGCAGUAAGUUAAUACCUUGCUGUUUUGACGUUACCAACAGAAUAAGCACCGGCUAACUUCGUG
This 484-nucleotide ribosomal RNA is filed under the name uncultured bacterium. RNAcentral describes it as "partial 16S ribosomal RNA". It matches the Rfam family "Bacterial small subunit ribosomal RNA", at positions 30 to 507 of the family's 1533-position model. The record is from RNAcentral.